ACUGACAAAACUGCGAACGGCUCAUUAAAACAGUUAUCAUUGAUUUGAAGGCCAAAGGUUAAACGGAUAACCGUGGGAAACCAAGGCUAAUACGUGCUUAAGGCUCUUCGAGCCUGUGUUUAUUAGGGGAAGAAUCGACACUAACGUGGUUGAUUGUAACUGUUCGAAUCGCAUGCUCAGCGGCGAUGGUUCAUUCAAGUUUCUGACCUAUCAGCUCUCGACGGUCGGGUAUUGGCCCACCGUGGCUUUGACGGGUAACGGGGAAUUAGGGUUCUAUUCCGGAGAGGGAGCCCGAGAAACGGCUACCACGUCUAAGGAUGGCAGCAGGCGCGUAAAUUACCCAGUCCCGACACGGGGAGGUAGUGACAAGAAAUAGCGACGCGAGACCAUGUCUUGUGAUUUGCAAUGAGUAGAAUUUAAAAGGUUCUACGAGUAGCAAUUGGAGGGCAAGUCUGGUGCCAGCAGCCGCGGUAAUUCCAGCUCCAAUAGCGUAUAUUAAAGUUGUUGCAGUUAAAACGCUCGUAGU
RNAcentral lists this ribosomal RNA (526 nucleotides) under uncultured eukaryote. Its description in RNAcentral is "bacterial SSU rRNA". It matches the Rfam family "Eukaryotic small subunit ribosomal RNA", at positions 77 to 634 of the family's 1831-position model. The record is from RNAcentral.